GCUGGGUAUGGUGGUGUGCACCUAUAGUCCAGGUACUUGGGAGGCUGAGGUGGGAGGAUCACUUGAGCCCAGGAGUUUGAGGCUGCAAUGAGCCAUGAUAUGGCCAUUGCACUCCAGCUUGGGUGACAGAGUGAGACCCUGUCUCAA
This 147-nucleotide small RNA is filed under the name Pongo abelii (Sumatran orangutan). Its description in RNAcentral is "Metazoan signal recognition particle RNA (ENSPPYG00000031519.1)". It matches the Rfam family "Metazoan signal recognition particle RNA". Rfam says of the family: The signal recognition particle (SRP) is a universally conserved ribonucleoprotein. It is involved in the co-translational targeting of proteins to membranes. The eukaryotic SRP consists of a 300-nucleotide 7S RNA and six proteins: SRPs 72, 68, 54, 19, 14, and 9. Lineage: Eukaryota; Metazoa; Chordata; Mammalia; Primates; Hominidae. The record is from Rfam by way of RNAcentral.